This 3712-nucleotide long non-coding RNA is filed under the name Sus scrofa (pig). RNAcentral describes it as "lncRNA (ENSSSCG00045031734.1)". The record is from RNAcentral. Lineage: Eukaryota; Metazoa; Chordata; Mammalia; Artiodactyla; Suidae.
GGGAGCAAAAAGGCAAGCAGAUUGCGGAGGAUAAUGCAGCAAUGGAGUAAUGGAAACAGCUGCUCGCUUUCUACUUCAGUGUCUGGCAUCUGCUGCGGCAUCAUGGGAAAGGCUGGUGAAGGAUUUGGGCAAGGAAUGUAAAUGGAGACAAUUGGCCAAAUGGAGUUUGAUGCGGAAAGGCUCAAUUGCUCUGUUCUAAAAUCAUGUUGUUCCCUUUGGGGAGCAGAAGCCAACAAUAUUACUGAACUCAAAUUCCACCUUCAAAGCAGUUGAAAGGUUUGGGAAUGUGAACUGCUUUGCAAUCAGUUAGUUCAGAUGUGAGACAAUAUAAAGGGAGAAAGCCUCGUUGUUGGAACAGCCUCCAUUUGUCCAAGUGUUCGGCUCAUCUUCCACAGAUCUUUGUGGAAAAGUUAAAUCGAGAGUCCUUUUUUUUUUUUUUCCUAUGGAACUCAUUUACUCUGAGAAAAAAAUGUUUCUUAAAUCACCACUGCUUACUUCUGAACUGGCUCAAGGGACAAUUUCUAUUUGUUGUGCCUAUUUUCCCCUUGGCUGCAAAGAUUUGGUUCUAAUUUCAUUUCCAUCACAAAAGAGCUGGCAAAGAACUAAAAGGCAGAAACACAUAACUGAAGUGCUGCUGUGCUAGUCAUAAGCCUAUAAUAAAGCACAGAUUUGAUAGCAUUAUCCAUGUACUGUGGUGAACCACACACAAAUAAACAGUUCUCCAUGAAGAAUGAAAACCCGAGGCUUCAACCCUUCCAAUUCAAACAUUAUUGUUGCUUUUAACAUGAGCCAUCCAUAAAUCAGCCAAGGAGGUGACAGGAAAUCCAAAAGUAAUCUGGUCUGGCUAUGCACACUUUGUUAAAAAAAAAGUUAAAAGAGAUGCUUUCCAGCUCAUCCUGAUGAUGUUCUAUGUGAAAAAUGGCUGCCAGGGAACCAGAUGUGCUUUCCUGAGAAACCAAACCAGGAGUUUUCUUUAAUCAAAAGGACGAACAGGGACUUCUAGGAGUUUAUGAAAGUGUGACCAAUUGGAACUUUGUCGUCUGUUGCUAAUUGAAGCAUAUAAAAGAGUCCAUUUCUUAAAACAUACUACCAACACUUUUUUUUUUUUUUAAUUCACUGCCACAUGACAAAAACCAGAAUCAAGUUGACUAGUAGAAGAUCAGUGCAACCAAAGACCGAGCUAUUAUUUCAAACUGUCAGGGGAAAGGCAGUAAAAUUGCUACCAGGUCUCCUUAAGUUACCCUUCAAUAAAAAGAAGCCAUCAGGGAAAUAAGAGGAAAAGAAAACACAUCAAAACCUUAAAAGUCCCUUUAAGUAAAAUUAUACGUCUAUGGCUCCAUGCCAUCUGCUCUGUGGUUAACAUAAUAAGCCAAUUCCACAACCUAAAUAUCUGCUUUCUAAAAUCUUUAAGGACAACGUGAAAUAUAAUCAAUAUAGUUUUAAACUCUAAAAACUUCAUUCACAUGGCAUGACUGGAAUAUGCCUAGAUGUCCCUGUGGGCACAUUUCUCUUAAGGUGCUAGUUGAGAAUGAGGAUUCUUAGGAGUUGCAAAAAGCUCAGUAGUUGUGCUAGAAGAGUCACAAUGAAUAAUAAACUGCGCUGGGAGGUGGGGAUGAGAAAGAAGAAAGAGUAGCUUUGAAAAACCAGCAGUCGUAUUUAUUCAUCACUUCAAACCCAUUUGUUUUAACAGAAACACCCUUCCCCCUUUGAGUUCUCUAUUACAACCAAAAUACAUAUUUUUUAAAUUCUCAUUUAGCUUCAUAGGGCAGUUCUUCUGGGUACUAGAGGAGAUCCACGCAGUUCAAGAGCCACUGACUUAUCAAAAUAUAACAUCUGCUUGGUAAUCUCUUUAAUUCUUCAGGCAAAACCCCGUCAUCUAUUUUAAUACAUUCCCAAAGGUAUUUCUAACCAAAAUUAAGCAGAUAUGCAAAACUUAGCUUUAGGAGCAAAGUACCAAUCUCCCCUUCUGGAUGCCCUUAGAGCACUCAAAAUAACAUUGCAAACAGCCUGAUGAUCAAUCCACUACGAAUUGUUUAACAGCCUUUCAUUCAGUUGCAAAGGCUUUGUUCCAACUGCCAAAACCUUUCGCUUAAAUUAAAAAGAAAGUACAACCAAGAGCAAGAAGUCACUAAAGAAACUUCAGCCAGGAGAGAGCACUGCACAGACAAAGAAGGGCUAAUUACCUUGCAGCAGAGUGGAACAGAAAAUCAACUGUGACUUUUUUAAAAGAACAAAGCCCAUGCUAACUAAAUGCUCCCAAUCCACUCCCAACCCAACAUCCACACAUGCAAUUAUAACAUGUAUAUACUCACACCUAUGAAAUAAAUAACAGGCACCAAAUACCAGUAAGAUCCCUGCAUGAGCCUGUAAGGAUGACUUAAGUCAUUCUUGGGACAGAAUUUCACUUGUUCACUUUCCCUAUAACCUUAAACGUACAGAUGAAGAGGGUAUUAUUAUUAUAUGACAAUAGUCCCAGUGGAGAAGCAUUAUUUCCACUCUGAUGUUGCUAAGGAUAGCCCAGAAUUCCCUUAGCUUCCAUGUUCUACAAGAAUACUACCCAAGUAACUUAGGAAUAAACUGUUUAGUAUUCAAGCAAAACCCUUGAUGUUCAGAUCACUGGCAAUCAAAACUAUGUUGUGCUACAGUAAUUACUAUGAAAAACUUCCAGUGCUUAAUAUUAAAGAAUAGAAUAACAUGAUCCUUCCACCUCUUCUACACCUCUAGAGUGUGUUCAACAUGGCAAUUAUCUCCGUUCAAGAAGCAGAGAGUUUAAACUGCAUUGAAACUCAAUUAUACCCAUGACUUUUUAAACAUACACUUCAAAAGGCAGGUUUCAUCACAUUCAAAUCGCUGCACGAAAUCUUUUCCCCAACUUAUAAAAUAUAGAUUUUUAUCCCUCUCCCGCGAGACCUCUUCCAGCAUAAAAGUGAUUUCUCUGUAGUUGUUGGACCCCCUUCUUUGUGUAUUAAAGUAGAGGGAUGACUGAGCUGGGGGCGAAAGACAAAAGAGAGAUCCCAUCUGAUAAAGGAACAGUGGGAUGUGUAGCCCUCCCAAACGUCACUGCCACACCGCCUGGCACUGCCACCCUUUUAAAGAGCCAGAUCACACACUUGUUAACAAAAAACACAUGACUUGGCUACUUUUAAGAAUGCAAAGGAACUAGGAGUAGUAGAUUUAUGAUUUAAGUGCUUGUGGCUAAAAUAGCUUUCCAAUUAUCAAGGGCCUCUUAGGAAGAGCAAGAAUGCAUUAUGUGUUAAUGACCACAACCAGGGGUCCCUUCUCCACUCUUUUGUCAGAACCGGGGCAGAUCCUCCCCGCAGCUUCACCAUUAACAUGUCUGUUUCCUGUCAGCCCACUCAGAGAUAAUGUCAUUUAUCUCCGAGGGGCACAAGCCCAGUCAUUAGCUUCUAUAAAAGACCUCAAACAAAGGCCGGGGAUAAUGUUUUACCCAGGGCUCUUACUAAAACCAGAACCCAGAAGCUUAGCAUCUAAAAGUCAAGGGCUCCAAAGUUAUCAUCCUUCAAAGAAUAUUUCCCUCAUUAUCAACAAUCUGAGACUCACAGCUCCGAACCAGAGCACGUCUGUGCAGAGCCAACAACCAGCCCAGGAUGCUACCACCUACAAUUAGAUUAACCGAUAAAGGCUGACCAGAGUUAGCCUGGGAGAGCCUCUGCCUCCCCCCUCCCUUGCCUCCAGGGGGAAAAUUGACAGA